GUUUAAGUUCUUAGUACUGCAAUUCAUCACUAAGCUCUCUUUUAUCAUAAGCCCCCAGCUUUUGGGGAAAGGGGAAGUAAAGCUGUCAGAUUGACUGUAGCAGAUCUAUUGUGAGGGAAAGGACAGGUACAAGGAAAGAAAAAAAGCUCGAGAAAAACAGAGUGAUCAACUGAAAAAAAAUGACACUGGUUAAACUAGAAAUUAAAGUGAUGGAUAGAAAGUAUCAAUACAAAUUUAAAAUGCUAACAUGUUUUAUUACUUAGAACUUCAAGGCUUUUCUGAAUAGAUGGGUGAAAGCAGAAUAAACAUCACUUUUACUGUUAUUUGGGAAGUAAUAAGCAAGUUGUCAUGUCUAAAGAACCACAAAGAAUGGGGCUUAUUGUCUUCAUCCUUUGAAAUACUCCACUCUAACUCACAGGUGCUCCCAUAAAAAGAAGCAUGGAGAGGCUAGCUAUCAUGAGAAUGUGGCUUGCGUGGGAACCUUCAAUUAUAUGAUGAAUCACACAAUCCUACAUGUCUAUCUGUAUACUGAAUGGGACUGUGGAAAGCAGACCUGAUUAAUGUCCUCUACAAGGAGAAAACGGAUGGAUGGAAGAUAAAUUAUCCAAAAAAGGAUUUACUCUCUCUCACAGCAUUGAAUAAUUCAGAAAUUCAGAAGAUUCUUCCUUUUUCCCUCUUCCGUCUGGUUGGGACUUGCCUUUGGAAGAAGAUUCCCCAGAGGCCACACACUGUGUGGAGCCCAGGUAGCCUGGUUACACACUGCUUGUGUCUAGUAUUUCCUAGUGGCUGGCUCCAGCCUUUGCUCAGCAUGCAUCACUCUAUAGAAGCCUCUAACUUGAAGUGGAAAAAUUGUUCUCCUGAGGUCAGGCCUUUUAGGCUGUGUGUUGCAAAUAGUGGGCAGAAAAGCUUUGGAACUGCUAGUGAGCUGCUUAUAGUUUAAGACAACUGAACACAAUCAGUUACCGUGUCAGGCACAGACUAUAUUCCUGCGGAAGAAACCUGUUAUUAAGAAAACAAGAACCAUUAUCUUAUCUUCAGACUUUGGAAACACUAACAUCAGCUUUGUGUAAUGAUACAAAGGUCUGCCUAUGUACUGCGAGAGCUAUGAAAAGAAACAUAUCCUAGAUGACUGAACACACUUUUUACAUAGGUUGAAAAUAUAACGUUGUCUUUUUAAAUUAAAAAAAUGACUAGAUAAUAAAUAAAGAUGAUGCAACGAUCA
This 1222-nucleotide long non-coding RNA is filed under the name Struthio camelus australis. Its description in RNAcentral is "lncRNA (ENSSCUG00000011606.1)". Lineage: Eukaryota; Metazoa; Chordata; Aves; Struthioniformes; Struthionidae. The record is from RNAcentral.